This is a long non-coding RNA of Nylanderia fulva, 1189 nucleotides long. RefSeq lists it as uncharacterized. Lineage: Eukaryota; Metazoa; Arthropoda; Insecta; Hymenoptera; Formicidae. The record is from RefSeq and is a predicted model, not a curated record.
AAUCCGUUUGCAGAGUGAAACCGGAAGUUGCGACUCUAAACUCUCUGCUCUAAUGUGACGUUCGGAAAAACAGAGCUCUCAUUGGAUAUCGCUCAUUAUUCUGAUUGGUUAUAUUUCAAUCCAAUCUCAAUUCUAAUCCUAAUCCGCAGGGUGAUUAUGGCUUUAGGCCAUGUUUCCUCUGUACGAUAAAGUGAGAAAGAAAUAGUGUCAAGUGUCAAAUCAACUAUCUCACUCGCAACUUCCGGCUUUACUCGCUGCACUAGUUUCUUUUUCCUUCCAAUGUAAAGUAAAAAAAAGAUAAAUUCUGAAAUAGUGCAGCUAGUUCAGUUAAAAAAAAUAGACUUAUAUUUUACGUCAGAUACAAAUGUACUCACAAAUGUCAGACCGGUUUUUCGCACAUGCACGUUCUUUUUUUUUUUAAUAUAUUUUAGAUACUUAUCGAUAUAUCGUGUUCGUUAAACAUGUGCAAAAAAUUCAACUCGCCAGUCAACGCUGUUUAUGAAUAGUGAUGGCAAUUAGAACGAUUAUUAUUCAGAAAAAAUUGUAUAGAUGUAAUAAAUGCAUAAAGAAAUUAAUCAAUUAGAUUUAUAAUAAUAUAUAAGAUUUACAAUUACCAUAUUGCUACUUAUACCAUCGUUGAUUAUGGAUUUUUUCACUUUGAUAUUUGUAACAGGAAUCAGUGAUUUUUUUCUCUUUCUUUAUAUACAAAAAAGUAUAAAUAAAAAUUUUGUUAAUUCAAAGAAAAAUACAUUGAUUGUACAAGAGGUAAUUUAUAUAAUUGCUUGACCUGAGCCAAAUAAUAUAUACGUUACACAUCCUACAAUAUCAAUAAUAGCAAUAAGUAAAAAGACUAUGGACCAGCUAUGUGUCAAAUGUAUCGCACCAACAGUAUUCAUCAGACCAAAUACACUUCCAGCAUGUUUUGGUGCAAGAUCCGAAGGAUUUACAGCAAUAGCAUUAUUAUGAAAGCCUGAACCACCAAUAAUCAGUGCAAGACACAAUACUGCACUUUGAAAGCUUUUCACUUUUGCUGCAGAGAGAGAAAUAAAAAUGAAAAUUGAUUUGAUUUUACUUCUACUGUCAGUUCUCAACCCACUUUUAAUAAAACAGCAUUGCAAUUAUAAAAAAUUGUGUGUAUAUAGAAUAUAAAUAUUUGUGCAAUAGAAAUUAAAUACUACAUAAAGACUUA